GUUUGUUUAAAACGGGCGUGUGAUUGACGUGAUUGUGAUACCGGAGGAUCCUUUUCCAAAAUUGUUGUAUAAAUAAAGCAUAAAGAUCGAUCGGCAUAAGGAUAUAUUGAAUGAGCAAGUUACUCUUCGCUUCUUUUCUUUUUUCGUGGGAUUUAGGUUUAAAACAUAUGCCAUCAUAGAAAAGAGGAAGAUAACUCUGUAGCAAGACAAUUCCAUUGCCA
Molecule: long non-coding RNA, 221 nt
Organism: Frieseomelitta varia
Lineage: Eukaryota; Metazoa; Arthropoda; Insecta; Hymenoptera; Apidae
Exons: 3
Source: RefSeq, a predicted model, not a curated record